Molecule: ribosomal RNA, 370 nt
Filed under: uncultured organism
Description: partial 16S ribosomal RNA
Rfam family: Bacterial small subunit ribosomal RNA
Source: RNAcentral
GUAGGUGGCAAGCGUUGUCCGGAAUUAUUGGGCGUAAAGCGCGCGCAGGCGGUUCUUUAAGUCUGAUGUGAAAGCCCACGGCUCAACCGUGGAGGGUCAUUGGAAACUGGAGAACUUGAGUACAGAAGAGGAAAGCGGAAUUCCACGUGUAGCGGUGAAAUGCGUAGAGAUGUGGAGGAACACCAGUGGCGAAGGCGGCUUUCUGGUCUGUAACUGACGCCGAGGCGCGAAAGCGUGGGGAGCAAACAGGAUUAGAUGCCCUGGUAGUCCACGCCGUAAACGAUGAGUGCUAAGUGUUAGGGGGUUUCCGCCCCUUAGUGCUGCAGCUAACGCAUUAAGCACUCCGCCUGGGAGUACGGCCGCAAGGCUG